GGGAUUCGAUUAGAGUUUGAUUCUGGCUCAGAACGAACGCUGGCGGCAGGCUUAACACAUGCAAGUCGAACGCCCCGCAAGGGGAGUGGCAGACGGGUGAGUAACGCGUGGGAAUCUACCGUACCCUACGGAAUAACGCAUGGAAACGUGUGCUAAUACCGUAUACGCCCUACGGGGGAAAGAUUUAUCGGGGUAUGAUGAGCCCGCGUUGGAUUAGCUAGUUGGUGGGGUAAAGGCCUACCAAGGCGACGAUCCAUAGCUGGUCUGAGAGGAUGAUCAGCCACAUUGGGACUGAGACACGGCCCAAACUCCUACGGGAGGCAGCAGUGGGGAAUAUUGGACAAUGGGCGCAAGCCUGAUCCAGCCAUGCCGCGUGAGUGAUGAAGGUCUUAGGAUUGUAAAGCUCUUUCACCGGAGAAGAUAAUGACGGUAUCCGGAGAAGAAGCCCCGGCUAACUUCGUGCCAGCAGCCGCGGUAAUACGAAGGGGGCUAGCGUUGUUCGGAAUUACUGGGCGUAAAGCGCACGUAGGCGGAUAUUUAAGUCAGGGGUGAAAUCCCAGAGCUCAACUCUGGAACUGCCUUUGAUACUGGGUAUCUUGAGUAUGGAAGAGGUAAGUGGAAUUCCGAGUGUAGNGGUGAAAUUCGUAGAUAUUCGGAGGA
RNAcentral lists this ribosomal RNA (660 nucleotides) under uncultured bacterium. RNAcentral describes it as "bacterial SSU rRNA". It matches the Rfam family "Bacterial small subunit ribosomal RNA", at positions 1 to 705 of the family's 1533-position model. The record is from RNAcentral.